This 253-nucleotide ribosomal RNA is filed under the name uncultured bacterium. RNAcentral describes it as "partial 16S ribosomal RNA". It matches the Rfam family "Bacterial small subunit ribosomal RNA", at positions 524 to 776 of the family's 1533-position model. The record is from RNAcentral.
UACAGAGGGGGCGAGCGUUGUUCGGAAUUACUGGGCGUAAAGGGCGCGUAGGCGGCCUUCUAAGUCGAACGUGAAAUCCCCGGGCUCAACCCGGGAACUGCGUCCGAUACUGGGAGGCUUGAAUCCGGGAGAGGGAUGUGGAAUUCCAGGUGUAGCGGUGAAAUGCGUAGAUAUCUGGAGGAACACCGGUGGCGAAGGCGGCAUCCCGGACCGGUAUUGACGCUGAGGCGCGAAAGCCAGGGGAGCGAACGGG